This 139-nucleotide ribosomal RNA is filed under the name uncultured bacterium. RNAcentral describes it as "partial 16S ribosomal RNA". It matches the Rfam family "Bacterial small subunit ribosomal RNA", at positions 355 to 485 of the family's 1533-position model. The record is from RNAcentral.
UAGGGAAUCUUCGGCAAUGGACGAAAGUCUGACCGAGCAACGCCGCGUGAGUGAAGAAGGUUUUCGGAUCGUAAAACUCUGUUGGUAGAGAAGAACGUUGGUGAGAGUGGAAAGCUCAUCAAGUGACGGUAACUACCCA